UGGGGAAUAUUGGACAAUGGGGGAAACCCUGAUCCAGCGACGCCGCGUGAGUGAAGAAGUAUUUCGGUAUGUAAAGCUCUAUCAGCAGGGAAGAAAAUGACGGUACCUGACUAAGAAGCCCCGGCUAACUACGUGCCAGCAGCCGCGGUAAUACGUAGGGGGCAAGCGUUAUCCGGAUUUACUGGGUGUAAAGGGAGCGCAGACGGCGAAGCAAGUCUGAAGUGAAAUGCAUGGGCUCAACCCAUGAAUUGCUUUGGAAACUGUUUGGCUUGAGUGUCGGAGGGGUAAGCGGAAUUCCUAGUGUAGCGGUGAAAUGCGUAGAUAUUAGGAGGAACACCGGAGGCGAAGGCGGCUUACUGGACGACAACUGACGUUGAGGCUCGAAGGCGUGGGGAGCAAACAGGAUUAGAUACCCUGGUAGUCCACGCAGUAAACGAUGAAUACUUGGUGUCGGGGAGGUAAACUCUUCGGUGCCACAAGCAAACGCAUUAAGUAUUCCACCUGGGGAGUACGUUCGCAAGAAUG
This 525-nucleotide ribosomal RNA is filed under the name uncultured bacterium. RNAcentral describes it as "bacterial SSU rRNA". It matches the Rfam family "Bacterial small subunit ribosomal RNA", at positions 355 to 896 of the family's 1533-position model. The record is from RNAcentral.